This 14363-nucleotide long non-coding RNA is filed under the name Nicotiana tabacum (common tobacco). RNAcentral describes it as "long non-coding RNA (NTAB_LNC002272)". Lineage: Eukaryota; Viridiplantae; Streptophyta; Magnoliopsida; Solanales; Solanaceae. The record is from RNAcentral.
CCCCAAUUGAUGGUACUGGCGACCGUCCGACCUGAUUGGUAGCACGUGUCCUCACCAUCUGUGAGAGAAUAAAAUAAUAGAAGUUUAGUACCAAAAUCACCAGAUUCGCACGACAAGAAUUCAACAAUGUGAAGUUUUUCCUAAAGGUUCUAUAGCUUCUCGAAGAUAAGUACAGAUAUCUCUGUACCGAUCCGCAAGAGUCUACUAAACUUGCUCAAGACUCGCGAGACCUAUGUAACCUAGGCUCUCAUACCAACAUGUCACGACCCCAAAAUCAACCCAGUCGUGAUGGCGCCUAUCAUAAAACUAGGUCAGCCGACACAUUCCCAAAAUAGUUCAACAUUUCAUGAAAACUUAAAUAACAACCUUUUUAAAUGGAAAUUUCCAUAAAAGAUAUAAAGUCAAAAAAACCAAAAUACGGAAAUAAAAGCCCGACCUCGGGUAUCACUAAGUCAUGAGCAAUACUACAAUUGUUUCGAAACAUAACAAGACCAAAAUAGUCUGAAAGUAGCCAAAAUAUACUAGAAGGAAGAUAAAGAAGGAGAAAGGCGGGACUACGAACGCCAGGCAGCUACCUCGCUAUCUUUGGUGAACUCCGCGUCUGGAAUAGUCAAUAGCCGCUACCAUGACCUAAGAUACCUGGAUCUGCACACAAGGUGCAGGGGGGUAACAUGAGUACAACAACUCAGUAAGUAACAAGCCCAAACUAUGGACUUAUAGGUAGUGACGAACCAAACCUUAGCAGUUAUAACACAAUUAAAUGGUGCAGUAAUCUGGCAAUUUAAGUGUUCAACUCAACAGUAAAGUAAAUGACAAUUCAAACAAUGUGAAGCAUAAAGCUCAGCAAAUCUCUACAUAUCAAUGCCAAAGAUGCAUGAAAAUAUACUGUGUACCUCCACUCUCAAGUGCUCAACCACUUGAUAUUGUACAUGGCCAUCCGGCCAGGGAAGAUCCGUCCCGAAACAUAUAUACACAUCACUGACAGCAGUUUCUCAGUACUGAGGAAGUCCAUUCCAGCCUUAUGGAGAAUAUCCAUGUCCAGGUAUAAUUACUUCGGACAAGAUCUAUGUCCAGGGAAGAUCCAUCCCUCAAAAUAUCAAUUGCACUUACUAGGGGUGUGUUACAGACUCCGGAUGGGCUCCUACAACCCAAACACUAUUAUAAUCAUCAACAUAUCCGCUGCAGUGUGCAGCCCGAACCCAUAACUGCCACUCAUAAUCAGGCUCUCGGUCUCACUUAGUCAUCAUUCUCCAGUCUUACACACACGGGCUCACAAUGCCAUAAUACUAGCCCGAAACAAUAAUAUGAUGUGCCAAAUAAUAACAACCGAGACUAAGAGAUGAUAUGAUAUGCAUGAACAAGACUAAGUGCAGAAUAUCAAUGAAACUAAUGAGAUGACAGCAAGAAAUGACCACUCGGUUCUCAACAGUAUUGGCGUGGAGCCCUAACAUGAUAAUUAGCAUGAUUUAUAGUUCAUUUACUUAAUCACAUAAUCUCAACACAUAUACCAACAAGAAAGAGUCACUAAGCGGUGCCAUUGAAUGAACCAGUUCAUAAUUCUCACGGUGCACGCCCACACUCCCGUCACUUAGCAUUUGCGUGACCUCAAUACAAAUCAUAUAGUACAUCGUUCGGGGUUUCGAACCCUCAAAACCAAGUUUGGAAGCGUUACUUACUUCAAACCAAGUCAAAUCCUGCUCCGCUACGCCUUUUCCUCUGGACUCGGCCUCCAAAUGUCCCGAAUCUAACCAAAAGCAAUGCAAUGCAAUCAAUAUAGUCCAAGAAAUCAAUUCCAAAGGAAAACUAUCAAUUCAACCCAAAAUUCACACAAACCCGGCCCCAGAACCACGUCUCGGAAUCCAACAAAAUUUACAAAACUAGAAACUCCUUUCACUCUCGAGUCUAUACAUACCAAAUUCAUCAAAAUCCGACCUCAAAUGGUCCCUCAAAUUCUCAAUCAUAACUCUCCAAAACUCAAGCCCUAACCCCUUCAACGUCUCCCCAAAUUCCCACUAAUUUCAUGAUUACACAGGGGCAAAUCAUCACAAACAAAAAUAAUAAAGCCCAAGUAACUUACCCAGCUGAUAACCUUCGAUCAUUUUUGAAAAUCACUGCCCAAAGCCCCAAUCUCGUCCAAAAAUGGUGAAUAAUGGACAAAAAUUUGCGAAGUGUGGCUUUUAUAAUUUCUGCCCAGAAGACUCGCACCUGCGGUCCAAAUGAGCGCACCAGCGCUACCGCAUCUGCGGAUUCCACUUAUCCGUUAAUUUUCGCACCCACGGCUAUACACUCGCACCUGCGGCCUCACUGGUGCGAUAAAACCUCAACACCUGCGAUCAAACUUCUACUGGCCAAAACCACAUCCACAACUUCCCUCUCGCAUCUGCGACCUCGCACCUACGGUCCCCUAUCCGCAGGUGCAGAAAUGACAGAAGCAGCAGCAGCAGCUGCUCAAACUAAUUUCCAACUCUUCCGUUAAUCAUCCGAAUUCAUCCCGAGGCCCUCGGGACCUCAACCAAAAAACACCCUCAAGUCGCAUAUCACCAUUCAAACUUAUUCAAACCUUCGGAACACUAAAAACAACAUCAAAACACCAAAUCACCCUCGGAUUCGAGCCUAAGAACUUCCAAACUUUCGUAUUCUGCAACUGAUGCCGAAACAUACCAAACCACCUCUGAAUGACCUAAAAUUUUGCACAUACGUCACAAAUGACACUACGAGCCUACUCCAAUUUUUAUAGAAUUCCAUUCUAACCCCGAUUUCAUGAUUUCCAUUGCCGACCGAAAAUUGCCAAAUUUUCAAUUUCGCCAAUUCAAACCUAAUUCUACCACGGACCUUCAAAUUAUAUUCCGAAUACGCUCCUAAGUACAAAAUCACCUAACGGAGCUAACCGAACCAUUAGAAUUUACAUCCGAGAUCUUCUACACAAUAGUCAAUAUCCAGUUGACUUUUCCAACUUAAACUUCUAAAUAAGAGACUAAGUGUCUCAUUCCUCUCCAAGACCACUCCGAACUCGAACCAACCAACCCGAUACCACACAAUACAGCUAAAUAGCACAUAAAGAAGAAAAAAUGGGGGGAAACAUGGCUAUAAUUCACUAAACGAUCGGCCGAGUCGUUACAGGACGUUCAACCCGGUCCUACAUAAAAGUAAACUGCGCACUACCGAGAGUCGAAUGGCCUGAACCAUAGAUACAUCUAUUAAACUGCCGAUAGUUGAACGACCCAAACCAUAAAUACAUCUAAUAACCUACCGAGGCGAACGGCCUGCUCCCAUGAGAGUAGUGGAAAUAAUCACCCUGUUCGCGGAUUAUACUUGCGACGCGGUUAAAUAUAAAUAUAAUGAAAUGUUCCCUCAAUUAUUUCAAAAUAAUGAUUUACUUGAAACCUUUGAAAUCAUGAAAUCUUCAACUUAAUUCCGUUCAAUGCAAAUCGAUAAAUAUAUUCAUAUACCCACAAAGCAUGGUAUAAGCCUAGAACUAUCCGAACAUAACAAGAAUAGUAGCUACGUAUAGACUCUCGUCACUUCGUGCGUACGUAGCCCCCACAAUGAAUCAUAUAUUAAUUAAGUUCACCUAUGGGGAAAUUUCCCUCUUACAAGGUUAGAAAAGAGACUUACCUCAUUUCGAGCAUACUCCCAAAUCAAGAAUGCGCUCAAACCGGAGCCGAACAAUCUGAAACUAUUCAAGUAGUGUAAAAACUAAUCUUUAUAGGUUCACAAGUUCAUAUUCUAGCUAUUAAAGUGAUUACAUAACCCCAAAGGCAAAAUUCCUAAAAUUCACCCUCGGGCCCACAUGCCUGGAUUCCGAAAAUUUUCGAAGGAAGUUGUUACUCAUAACCUAAGGAACAUAAAUAUAUGAUUAUCACUAAGUUUCAUGGUCAAUUUCGUGGUAAAACUCUCCUUCUUGCCAAACCCUAGGUUUUCAUUUAAUCCCAUGAUUUUCACUAAUCUUUACAUGUUAAUCUACCCAAAUCAAAGUAUUUAACUCACAUACAGUAGGAAUUACUUACCUCCAAAAGCUUGGUGAAAAACUCCUCUCAAGAAGCUCAAAAAUCGCCCAACAACGGAGUGGAAUGAGCCAAAAACGUAUAAGGCCCGUAUUAAAUGAAGGCCACUGCCUUCAGUGAUUUCCGCAUCUUCAGUCAUUGGCCGCACCUGUGCCCUCUUAUCUACGAACUAUAGUCUGCUUCUGCGAAAUUCACUGGGCCGGCCGGGCCCGCUUCUGCGGAAGGCCCACUACUUCUGCAGUUCCGCUUUUACAGAGGAGGGGCCGCAUCUGCGGUUCUGGGAUGCCCACCCUUGGCUGCAUCUGCGAGUCAAGGCCCGCACCUGCGAGCUCGCAUCUGCGGCUGACUAACCACAGGUGUGGUUAUGACAGAAGCUGGGGCUUCAGCUCUUGCUCAAAUUUUUCAACUCAGUCUGAGCCUCGUUCGAUUGAAGCUAGGGCUCCCGGGGCCCCCCUCGAACAUACCUACAAGUUUGGAAUGAAAAAACAGAGUCGUUCGAACCCUCAAAACACCUGAAACAACAUUUAAACUAGGAAUCACACCCUAAAACCAAUUGAUUCAAAUUUAUGAAUUUCAAGUUCUUCAAUUUACUUCCAAUGCGCCAAAAUGUACUUAUACUACUCGGAAUGAUACCAAAUUUUGCGUUCAAGUAUUAAAUGGCAUUAUGGAACUAUUCCCAAUCUCUGAAUCCCGUUCGAACCUUGAUAUCAUUAAAACCCGCUGUAAACCAAAUUUAAAGAACUUCUAAAAACCUUCAAGAACCAACUUUCACUAUUAUGCACCAAAAUGCUCCCGGAUCAUCCAAAACCCAAUCCGAACAUAUGUCCAAGUCCGAAAUCAUCAUACGAACCUAUUAGAACCAUCAAAUCCUGAUUCUGAGGUUGUUUACUCAAAAUGUUGACCAAAGUUAAACUUGGUCUUUUAGGCCAACCUUAAGGAAUCAAGUGUUCCGAUUUCAACCCAAACUCUUCCAAAUCCCAAACCAACCAUCCCCGUAAGUCAUAAAUCAAUAAAAGAAAGUAUGAAAAAUCUUAUUUAGGGAAACAUGGUUCUAAAAAAUCAAAACAACCAGUCGGGUCGUUACAGAUAUAAGAUUCAGUUUAGUAAUUUAUGUUUUUUGACAAGUCAUUAAAAAAUCAUAAUAAAAAUAUAGCUAAUAACUAUUUUUGUGUCUUCUUGAAUGCACUUGAGAAUAGUUUUUGAUUUUUUUUUUAGAAAGCUCGCAAGGGUUGACUGAGUUGGUUGGAUGAGUAGUUUCCCACAUGGGAGACCGAUGAUUAAUUCCCCUCAUCAACAACCUGCUCAAUUAGAUCUCAUCGUAACGAGCUUGUCUAUUGCAUUUUGCAUCUUCUAUGUGGUUUGCGAGCUACCGCAAAUAAGCAAGUUACUCAGUGCGCACCCGAAUGGUAGCAACAAGGGUUUCCCUGGGAGUUUUUCAAAAAAAAAAACGUAUUUUAAAAAAAUUCUUAAAUCUUCAAGGGUUAUGUAUUUUUACUAAAACUUAAAAGAAGGCGUGAUAACUUGUGAAGUUGAACUGAUAAAAUUAUAAUGAUAAAGUUUGAACAAAAUUUAAAGUGAAUAUAUUGAAAAAUAAUUUAGGAUUUUUAUGAACAAAGUUCUGCUUUAUUGGGUUAGUUACAUAGGAUCAUUAUUGAUAAUUUCAGAAGCCUACAUUUUGUUUUUAUAAUUCAACACACUUUUUUAAAAAAAAUAUGUAAUUUUCUUAUAAAACUUUACUCAUUAAAAUGUGGAACAUACGUAAUGUGCAUACACUAAUACUAGUAUAUAACCCUUUAAAAAUAGAUUUUACAUCAGAUAAAAUUGUCAUUUCAUUAUAUUCCUAAUAUUUAGGAAUUUAUAUCUUUCUUUCCCAUUUUGAACAAUUUAUACCAAGUUACAAUUUACGAAAAAAUUUCUUUCAGUGCUUCUACACAAAGUCAUACGUUUUAUUUUGUGAGGUAAUAACCAAUUUUUUAAUCAAAGUGUAGUUUUUGUGAUCAAAUAAAAUAAUAGAAUAAUUCGAGUUUCUAAUAACCAAUUUUACUUCACUUUUCUAAUAUAUAUGAAUAAGAAAUACUAAAUAUAAAAUAUUGAGAUAAUAAGAAAAAAAUCUUAUUGAUAUUCAUAGCUUCCUUCCAAGAGGAGAGAACUAGAUUCUUCAAUUAAUAGAGAAUAAAAGAUAAAUGUCUGAUAGUAUAAUUUCGUGAAUUUCUUCAUGAUCGUAGAAAAUAUGGUAAGGAAGGUUUAUAUAAGGGUGCAUUAUGUAACUGCUUUGCCUACUUAAUUCUCGCUCGUUACUAAAAUUUAUUAUAUGGAUUUCCCGUUAUUGGCUAAUUUAUAAUGGCUAUGGCAAUAAUAGUCAACUGCGCAUAAUCAGGGAUUAUGUCGUUUUCUUUCUAUAUUCGUGGAUAUUAAUGAACAUUCCUUCCUUAUAGUCUUUAAUUAUCCAUCUCGCGCGUGUCUCGUUUUUCUCAGUUGUCAUGUGCGGUAUCCUUGUAAGAAAUCCCGUGGGUGUUUUACUCAUUCUUCUCCCAACCUUCACUUUUCUUUAUUUCUAUGACUCUCAUGACACUUGUCAGCACAUCAUUAGUCCAUGUGGUGAAUCUAUUUUUUCUUCAAUACAGAUAGUUUCUCCACUUUCUGAAUAUUCUCAACUAAUUAUUCAGGAAGUGAAAAGUUUAUUGAUGGUGGGAAUGUCAUGCUACCUCAUCCCCAUAUCAAUAUGAUUUAUCUCAGAAGUGAAAAGACGUAUGUCUCUUCCAUUUAAUGCUUGAGACACGUGUCUUGCUGUGAUUGGCUUUGUUGCUUGUAAUGUCAUUUUAGGGUUUCUGCGUCUACGUCAGUUUGACGUGACAGUUCCAUGAUAAUGGUUCAUAAUGAUGCCUUUUUAUUAUAAAUACUACAUCAUGCAUCUUCCAAAAACCUCUUCUACUCUCUUUGACUUUCUUCUAAGAUUUAUCUGCAGCUUUUCUCUUCUCUUCAUGCUUAUGCUAUAAGUAACAAUGGCUUCCCGAUCUACAAACCCUUCUUCAUUGUACAAUCCUCGGAGGGCUAUUAUAGUAGAUGGACUUCCUCUUUCUAUAGCUCCGGUCAAGAAUAGAAAUAGAGGUGGAAGGCUUCGUAGCCUUGGCUCCAUAUCGAGCCAAAGUAUCACUUCUUCUCCGAAAAAUUCUUCUAAUCCUUCUUCUUGUUCCAAAAAUAAAUCUUCAUCCACCCUAGAUCUUCUUCUAAAAAUCAAAAUGAAGCAAUACCUGAACCAAUAGUUUCUGAGAUCGUUCCUCAGGAAUUUUCUUUUAAAUUUGAUUGUGAAGCAUGGAAGAAAGAAGUUUCUUCCAUAGUAGCACUUAAAAAUGGUGAUCACUAUCUUUCUUUAAUCAACUACAGAUUUCUUCCUUUAUUACAUCGUGAAUAUUACUAGAAACUUGACUUCCCAGUCAGAACUCCUAGUGUCGACGACCAAAUAAACUUUUAUCGUAAAGGUUAUUCAUUCCUCUACACUUAUCCUUUCAUCUUAGUAUUCAAACCUCCUAUUGACCCGGUGAUCAUUGAGUUAUGUCAUUACCUUAAUGUUUGUCUUGGGCAAAUAGGCCUGAUAACGUGUAGGGCAUUAGCUUGUCUUUGCUACUUAUCGGGUUUAGUUUAUGUACCUUUCACUUUUUGUCAUUUCCUCCAUCUAUAUUUUCCAAUGCUUUUCAACGAGUGUGUUUCCACACUUGUAGCAAGAAGCAAAAGAGUGUUAGUCAGUCCAGAAGAUGACCGUGACCGAGGUUGGUAUGCUUGAUUCAUGGCUGUUCCCGAAAAGUGGAACUUUGCACAUGAGUAUUUCCCUUUGCUUUUUCUUUACGCUAUUUUCUUUUUAAAAUCCUAACUUUCUUACUCAUAUUUUCUUGGUUUUAAGCAAUCAUGAAAGUUUUUGGUGACCUUCCUGACUUUCGUGAUCGGGUAGAAAAAAAUGUCAUAAGUCGCUCCAAUGGAGCAAAGAUCUUGAAAGUUUCUAUCCCAAAAGUUUAGGUGGAAAGUUAAAAUCCACGGUAUGUUACAUUACUUAACCGUGCAUUUUUCACUUUUUCCUUUUUACUUUAACAUCCUUUGUGACUUCCAUGAUUUGCUAUCCGUGGAGUUUGCCCUGCUUCCACUAUCUGUGAAUAGCAUACUUGGACAUGCGCACAAACUCCAUGUAGUACUCCCGCACACUCUUGCUACCUUGCUUUAGGUUCUCAAACUCAACGGUGUGGGUUGCCUUUAUCUCGGCUGGCAAGAAAUGAUCCGUGAAGGCAUCAGCAAACUCACUCCACCUCGUUGGAGGGCUGUUCUCCUCACGGGAGUCCUCCCACAGAUCAAACCAAGAAUAGGCCACCCCUUUCAAGCGGUAGGCAGCAAACUCCACUCCCUCUGUCUCAAUAGCGCGCAUAACUCGGAGUGUCUUGAGGAUGUCAUCAGUAAAGUCCUGGGGGUCCUCUUCGGGAUUAGUACCUUUGAACAUUGGAGGAUCUAACUGAAGAAGCCCGUUCACCCUGGAACCAGUAGAAUCCCCUUAUUGGCUAGAAGAAGUGGGUGCAACAUUUGAUCUCUAGGCCUGGGAAGCCACUAUCUGUGUAACAUAUGUAUGGCUUCCCUAAGAUCCCCAUAAAAGAUACCAAAACUGGAAGCUAGGGCUGGAGGUGGAACCGAAAUAUCAGUUGGAGGGAUCGUUGCACCCUUAGUAAGUGCACGAAUUGGCACAACCUGGUCAGGUGUAGUAGUCGGGGGAAUAUUCUCGCCCCUUCGGGUACUCCCCCACAUCAUCGAGUAAAGAAUCAGCUGCCACUCCUGGGGCAACAUUGGAUAAUUGGCUAGUUUUUGCUUUCUUUCUAGGUGCCAUGUAGUGAAAGUUAGAGCAAUGCAUGAGUUAGAGGAGGGACAAUCUCACAAUCAGCUUUAUUGCACCAUCCAGAAUAACAAAGAAGGGUAUUAUUCCAAAAUGUCCAAGUAGCCUCCAACUUAUAGAUGUGAUCGAUAUCCUAGGACACUUUAAAACCUUAGGCUCUGAUACCAAGUUUGUCACGCCCCAAACUCGGGGAGCGCGACCAAUGCUGAACCGAGUGAACCCGGUCAAGCAAGCCCGUUAUUUACUUUCUACCCAAUCUCACUCAUGAAUAGAGAUAAUACAUUUUUCAUUUAUUAAACAAUAGUGACAUCAUAUAGACAAUACCAAUUCAUUACCAUUAGUUACUCUGUUUAACAAGACUCAAAAUACACGCAUUUUCAUGAUUUGAAGUGGAACAAGUGAUUAAAACACAACAUAACUUGUUAGACUUUGCCAGUAUCCAUAUACAUCCCACAUUAUAUCAACGGAUCCUCUAAUAGAUACAAAGGAGUACUAUGAUAGUGUCAAUAACAAGGGCCCAGCUAUACCUCAAACAUCAUACACAAAGAACAAAAGAUACAUGACCCUGGAAUAAAGUACAUGAAAUCAAUAGAAGCCACAAACAAUACCAAAAAAUCAAGUUAAGAACCACAUAAGUUUUCAAGUGAAUUUCCAUGUUUUUAGGUUGGGAGAUCUUUAGUACCGAUAUACCAUCAUUCAAAAUACCACCGUACUUUUACACAGAGUUCGAUCAUGACCCGAUCGGCUAGACCGUCUUAUUUGAGACAUCAACCACAAUCAUAAUUUCAAUUAAAAUUUCUAGCACAAUCAUCACCAUGCGUGCGGCAUGGCAUCCGAUCACGACCAGAACGUCUAUGCCGUCUCACCCCAGACAUCAUCCUUUUCUAUCAAUCAUCUCAUUUCAUACUCCUUUCACAUCUUUUCAAUUCAUUGGCACUAGUGUCAACAAUUAUAAUAUUAUUCUUGUCACUUGGCCGUAUCUCAUAUUUCAUGCCCCCCCUUUUCACUUUCAAACAUCAUCAUCAUUAUCAACAACUAGGCUUUUCAAUUCAAGAUUUUAAGUACACACGUAAGCAAUUAAGAGUCUUGACAUAUAGAGGGUUUUCACAUAAUUUGGCAUAAUAACCUUCAUUCAAACUUGACUUGAAGUCGUAAUAUUCUUAACACACAGCCCAUACUUUGAAUGCAUUCUCAAAUGAUAUCAUAGCAUGAUAAAAGCAUUUGGAACACACAUUGAACAUAUAUCUUUCAACACAAGUUUACUUGGAAUAGGCAAUUUCAUAAUGACCAACUCGGGUCUUACAUAACUUACAUUAACAUCGUGGGAUUAAAUUCUAGGAAAGGAGUUUAGUGAUCAUACCUCAAUUGAGCUUCUUUGAACUCUAAAAUGUUCUGGAUUUCUUAGCAACUCUAACCUAUUUUAGAAAUGUAACAAAUUGAACCAAAAUUAGGAAGAUGAUCAUGGUUCUAGCUCAUUUGAGCAUUUUAUCAAACAUUAGGUAUGCAUUAAGGUUUCAAGGUCUUUUUAUGGAGGAUUCCAUCAUCCCACAAUCUAUUCUUUAGUAUUUUAGCUCAACAAUCUCCCUAAGUUCCAUGAUCACACAUGCAUGCAAAAUAGACAACUCCCAUACCCAUGAAUUUCCUUACUAAUUGCCCAUUUCUAGUUAAAUUUCAAAAUUAAGAGUUAGGAUGUAGAAUCUUACCUCUAGGAUGAAGACCUAGUGUGUUUUCCUUGUUAACCUUCCAAAAUUUGAGUACGAAUUGGUGGAUGAAGCUUAGGAACUCCCUUUCUCACUCUAUGCCCAUUCUAACAAAGGGUGUUUUAUUAGAAUGGGGCGAUCAAAAAUUAGAAAAAUAGAAGCCCCGAUACAGGUAUGCGAUCGUAUAAUGCUUCUCCGGUCCACGAAAAAGGCAGCGAAAUGACCUUCUGGAACUGGGCAGGUCUUCCCCACUCGGUGGCCAUUAUGUGAUACGUAGACCUAUUCUAUAGCCGCAUAAUGCACAUCGAACCUCCCUCCAAAAAAUUUCCUUGUUGAAUUUGCAAUCAUUGUGCGGCCCAUGACAUCGUUAUGCGGCCGCAUAAUGGACCACACAUUGGUCCUACAAUUUUGCUCAAGUUCUUUCUUCGCUCUACGGCCAUUCUGCGGCCGCAUAGUGGGCCAUAGAAAUGUCUUUUUCUUUCUAUAAUUUCCCUUAACUACUCAGUGCGCUGUUCAACCCAAAAAGUCCAUAUACAUAGGUCUCUACAAUCUUUAACACAUAAGUGUACCUCUCACCAUGAAAUCUCGGAUUUUAGGUAAAUAUUCAGGGCCUUACAAUGUCCAUAUAGGUUUAUGAGGGAUGUGGGGAGAAAAAUGGAUUGGGAUAUUAAUGAUAUCAGUAAUUUUGUGGGCUGGAGCUUGGUUGUGAAGCUUCUGAGGAUCCCAUUUUCUAGAAUCCCAAAAUUGAGAGACAGUGAUGUUGCCUGGCUUUCCUCCCUCUAUUCUGUAGCUAGUUAAGGGACCUAUUCCCCACCAAUUAUCCCACCAAAAACUUGCAUUGCCUGAAUAUAGCCGCCAAUUUAUGUGUGCUUCCACUUCUUGCUUAUUACACAUCAUCUUCUUCCAAGUUUGUGAAUUUCCAGGGUGCCAUUUCUUUGAGAUUGGGUGUGAUUUUUUGCAGUAUUUGGCUAAUAGGAAGGUGCUCCACAAAGAUUUUUUUGUUCUAAAAUUCCAUCACUAUUUGAGUUCCCUAUCCUUACAAACAUCAGCCACAGUUCUAAAACCAACACCCCCUUCCUCUUGAGAAUAUGAUAACUUCUCCCAGAAAGCCUAAUGGUAUUUGUUUUUGUCCUUCUCCAUGCCCUAGAAAAACUUAGCAGCCAGUCUUUCCAGCUGUUUCAUGACAGUUUUGGGUGGUGAAACAACUGAUAGUAGGUGAAUGAGCAGAUAUUGCAUCACAUAUUUGAUCAUGGUAGCUUUUCCUCCAUAUGAAAGCAAUCUGCUAUGCCAUCCUCUGAUUUUGCUAACCAUUUUGGAUGCCAGUUUAUUGAAGUGUAUACUUCUUUUUUUUUCAAUGUCGAUGGGGCAACUAAGGUAUGUGAUUGGUUGUUCUAUCCUGGUAAAACCAGUGAUUCGAGAGAUCCUAGAGACAUUGUAUUGGAAGACACAAUCCCUUGUUUAUCCUAGAGACAUUGUAUUGGAAAACAUAAUCCCUGGGGGUCAUGAAAUAACUCUUAGCCUUGUUUAUCAACUAGCCAAAAGUACUCUCAUAAUCCCUUAAAAUUCUCAUAAUCUUCUGUAGGGAAACUCUGGUGCCUGAUGUGAAGUUGAUAAUAUCAUCUGCAAAGAUCAAAUGAUUGACUUGAGGACCUUUUUUUCAUGUAAAAUCCAUUGAAGAAUUGAUCAUUGUUGAGGUUGUUGAGAAUUCUGGGGAGAAGUUCUGCCCAAUGAUAAAGAGGGAUGGUGCCAAGGGAUCUCCCAUUUUAGACCCCUAGUGGAUUUGAAAAAACCAUGCCUAAUUCCAUUUAUCACAACAUAGUACCGGUUAUUGGACAUGGUUCUCCAGAUCAUGUCUGUCACACCUCCUUUUCACUACACAAGCAAGGGCGUAAAGGAGUUUUUCCAAUUUAAGUGACAAUCGAAACGGGAUUUAUUAUAAAGAUUCAGAGUCGCCACUUGAGAAAUUAAUGGUGUCCCAAGUCACUGGUUGAAUCCCGAACUGAGGAAAAUAUGACUCUGUUAACAGUCCGCGAACCAGAAAUCCGAGUAAGGAAUUCAGUUAACCCAGGAGAAGGUGUUAGGCAUUCCCGGGUUCCGUGGUUCUAGCACGGUCGCUCAACUGUCUUUAGCUUAUUAUCUGAUUUUAUUACAUGAUGAACCUAUGUGCUAAUUUUACUUUUAAUCACUUUUUAUUUAAUUUUUAAAGAAAAUUGAAUGUCGUUUAAAACGUGCCUUUGGAUUGCGCCACAUGAAAUGCACCCGUAAUCCUGAACGCAUUAUAUUCAACGUUUUGGGAUUUGAUUUGGGUCACAUAAAAUGCACACCCGAGUUUAAGAAUGUAAUUUUGUUAAAAUCGCGCCUAAAGUGACUAACGCGUUAUUAUCUUUUGGGAAGACCAUGAAAUUCGCUAAUCGGCCCAUCCCGAAUUCUAAGUAUUUAAUAUAACUAUUUAUUAAGGGCCCCACAAUUUACAUUUUAUUUGACGAGGCUCCUCUCAUUUAUUAUUUAAAGGGCAAACCUAAAAGCAACUAUAAUUUUCUAUUUGUAUUUGUAUUUAAUAAUAAAAGGAAAAGUCUUAAUUAACAUUGAUAAAUGGAUGAUCAGUGGGGGCAACCCAAGAAUUGCCUUAGGGAGUGGGCUUCAAGGCCAACCCAUGCAAAAAGGGGGCUGAAUCAGCCUUGGCGACAUUAGUAGAAGAAUGGACCAUUAGGAGAAUGCUUUCAUCUUUGGGCUUAUGAUUGGCCCAACGAAAAUCUGGGCGGACGUCCAAUUCGAUACCAAGUUCAGUGGGAAUUUUAAUUUUCCACAACUGGAUCUCCAAAAAUAGCACAAAUAAGCACAGACCUAGCAAAUCAAUUUUAUACAAGUUUGGACCAAUAAGCUAGCAGACGAGGUGAUCAACAUGAUGCUUUCAUUCUACUGAAAUUCAGAGUCGUUCAACACACAUCAUUUUAAAACAUAUUUACGAAAGCAUCCAGCAUGAGACUGACUAUAACUAACGUGAAUCACUUAUUAACCUAACACAAAAUUAGUUACAACUAAUAGAGAACUAACUAUAACUAGGACUAUACUUGAAAAACAAAACUCAUUGAAUUAGAAUCAUAACAACAGUCCAUUUAAUACAAAACAAACAGGAAUUUAAACAACAUCCAUAAACUAAAUAUUGAAUACAUGGUUCAGAAAUUGAAAUAACUCAAAUCUCAUGCUUCAAUUAUCAUUUGAAUUCUGCCUUCACAUUUCAGCUCACAAUUAUCUAAAACAAAGUUGUGUACCUGGAAUUGGAACACAAAAUGAAGGGGAAAUAGAAGUCAGCUGAGGCAGUAAGAACAGACAGCAGCAAUAUGAACUCAAACAGCCACAAUUACACCAAUGCUUCAGCCCAGAAAUGAGUUAGGAGUAUAGAAAUGCUUUUAAAAACCAAAGGAUUAACGGAUCCAGCCACAGCAAAUUCAACUAAGCACAAUUGACUUCCCAAAUGAAAACAACAACAGCUCACAGCAAAACAACACCCAAAUUGAUCCCAAAAUGCCUCGACCAAACCCAAAAACUGCUUGAAAUCAACUAGGAAUACCUCUGAAAUUUCAGCAACUAAAAAGAGAACUAGGAGAUGUGAAUUGAUAACUAGAAUAUCAAAAUUAACCUACAAUUUCCAAUGAAACAGUGAUUUUUUUUUGGAUUUUUGAAGUUUUUUUCUAUUGUUUUUGUGUUUUUGAGAUACUAGAUCUAAUUGGAAUUGGAAAUUCAAAUCUGAAAUUCAGAUCUGCAGCCAAGGGUUUUAGGGGAAUUUUUGGG